AGUGAACGCUGGCGGUAGGCCUAACACAUGCAAGUCGAACGGCAGCACAGUAAGAGCUUGCUCUUACGGGUGGCGAGUGGCGGACGGGUGAGGAAUACAUCGGAAUCUACUUUUUCGUGGGGGAUAACGUAGGGAAACUUACGCUAAUACCGCAUACGACCUACGGGUGAAAGCAGGGGAUCUUCGGACCUUGCGCGAUUGAACGAGCCGAUGUCGGAUUAGCUAGUUGGCGGGGUAAAGGCCCACCAAGGCGACGAUCCGUAGCUGGUCUGAGAGGAUGAUCAGCCACACUGGAACUGAGACACGGUCCAGGCUCCUACGGGAGGCAGCAGUGGGGAAUAUUGGACAAUGGGCGCAAGCCUGAUCCAGCCAUACCGCGUGGGUGAAGAAGGCCUUCGGGUUGUAAAGCCCUUUUGUUGGGAAAGAAAAGCAGCAGGUUAAUACCCCGCUGUUCUGACGGUACCCAAAGAAUAAGCACCGGCUAACUUCGUG
This 492-nucleotide ribosomal RNA is filed under the name uncultured bacterium. Its description in RNAcentral is "partial 16S ribosomal RNA". It matches the Rfam family "Bacterial small subunit ribosomal RNA", at positions 29 to 507 of the family's 1533-position model. The record is from RNAcentral.